UAGGGAAUCUUCCGCAAUGGCCGCAAGUCUGACGGAGCAACGCCGCGUGAGUGAAGAAGGAUUUCGGUUCGUAAACCUCUGUUGUUAGAGAAGAACAGCGCAUAGAGUAACUGUUAUGCGUGUGACGGUAUCUAACCAGAAAGCCACGGCUAACUACGUGCCAGCAGCCGCGGUAAUACGUAGGUGGCAAGCGUUGUCCGGAUUUAUUGGGCGUAAAGCGAGCGCAGGCGGUUAGAAAAGUCUGAAGUGAAAGGCAGUGGCUCAACCAUUGGAGGCUUUGGAAACUGUUUAACUUGAGUGCAGAAGGGGAGAGUGGAAUUCCGUGUGUAGCGGUGAAAUGCGUAGGUAUAUGGGGGAACGCCGAUAGCGAAAGCGGCUCUCUGGUCUGUAACUGACGCUGAGGCUCGAAAGCGUGGGGAGCGAACAGG
RNAcentral lists this ribosomal RNA (428 nucleotides) under Bacteroidota bacterium. RNAcentral's name for it is "Bacteroidetes bacterium partial 16S ribosomal RNA". It matches the Rfam family "Bacterial small subunit ribosomal RNA", at positions 355 to 776 of the family's 1533-position model. The record is from RNAcentral. Lineage: Bacteria; Pseudomonadati; Bacteroidota.